RNAcentral lists this ribosomal RNA (460 nucleotides) under uncultured bacterium. RNAcentral describes it as "partial 16S ribosomal RNA". It matches the Rfam family "Bacterial small subunit ribosomal RNA", at positions 338 to 795 of the family's 1533-position model. The record is from RNAcentral.
CCUACGGGUGGCAGCAGUGAGGAAUAUUGGUCAAUGGACGAGAGUCUGAACCAGCCAAGUAGCGUGAAGGAUGAAUGCCCUAUGGGUUGUAAACUUCUUUUAUAUGGGAAUAAAAUGUUACACGUGUGGGAUUUUGUAUGUACCAUAUGAAUAAGGAUCGGCUAACUCCGUGCCAGCAGCCGCGGUAAUACGGAGGAUCCGAGCGUUAUCCGGAUUUAUUGGGUUUAAAGGGAGCGUAGGUGGAUUGUUAAGUCAGUUGUGAAAGUUUGCGGCUCAACCGGAAAAUUGCAGUUGAAACUGGCAGUCUUGAGUACAGUAGAGGUGGGCGGAAUUCGUGGUGUAGCGGUGAAAUGCUUAGAUAUCACGAAGAACUCCGAUUGCGAAGGCAGUUCACUGGACUGCAACUGACACUGAGGCUCGAAAGUGUGGGUAUCAAACAGGAUUAGAUACCCCUGUAGUC